Zeugodacus cucurbitae (melon fly) is the source of this 999-nucleotide long non-coding RNA. RefSeq lists it as uncharacterized. The record is from RefSeq and is a predicted model, not a curated record. The transcript is spliced from 2 exons. NCBI's taxonomy places the organism in Eukaryota, Metazoa, Arthropoda, Insecta, Diptera, Tephritidae.
UGCAAUCUUGUAAGAGCUAAAACAGUGAUUCUCGGGCCUUCAAUUAGCCGUAUAGAAAACUUCAUGUUUAUCCUUCAAGAGUUAGCGACGGCAUCUAUGGAAUAACACGCUAUCUUCAAGCAUAUCCUACACUUUAGAUUAUACUAAAUCCAAUGGCAAAAAAGAAUCCAUGUGAAAUGAAUGUGAAUCAACAAUCAUCUUGUACCAACAAGAGUUCAAAGGAUAUUUGUAGACCGACAAAAUUAAGUGUCAGUAAGUAAUAGAAGGUUGCAAUGCGUCGUGAACAGCAUUUGCUCCCGAAGAAGAAAAGUAAUAAAACCGAAAACAGCGAUGGUUCCUUGAACACAUUUUACAAAUUUUCAGCAUCUAAGUGGCAGAUGGUGGGAUCGAAAACAAAAGUGAAGGAAAGCGGUGACUUUUACAUAAAAAGGUCAGAUCUAGGACAGAGUUGGACCUGGUCCUCAGUGCUUUUAUGAGCUGACACACUCAAGCCUAUUGCAGCCAACAUGUAUUCACUGUAAUAUCCAUCAAAGUUUUUUCGACUCUUCAACCUUCAAAAUUCAAAAAAAAAAAUUCAUUACAAAACUAUUUGGCUCAACAAACUAAACGAAAUUUUCAGUCCAUACUUUUUUCAAAAGCUAAAAAAGGCACUUUCUAGAUAAACGCAUACAAAAUGUGUUCUGGUUGUAGCCCUUGCUGUAGUCCUUGCUGCUGCUCGCCAUGCGUGUGUCCAUGCAGAUACUUAAAAUGCACGGACUUCUGCUGCCGCUGGCCAUGCCCAUGCAAGGCUCAUUGCUAUAAUACGCCACCCAAGUGUUGCUGCUAAGUAGCAAUAUUAAGAAGUCUGCAAUGGAGCUUGUCGUCAGAAAUAAUUUUAGUCAAAUAUUAUAUAUUCUAUGCUUUUGGAUUAAGAAGUUUUAAGUGAAAAUAAAUAAAGUAAAAUUUUGGAAAAAAACAUUGAAAUCACAGUAUUUCCAAUAAAUCUACUCAAAAACCGGA